UGGGGAAUAUUGGACAAUGGACCAAGAGUCUGAUCCAGCAAUUCUGUGUGCACGAUGAAGUUUUUCGGAAUGUAAAGUGCUUUCAGUUGGGAAGAAAGAAAUGACGGUACCAACAGAAGAAGUGACGGCUAAAUACGUGCCAGCAGCUGCGGUAAUACGUAUGUCACGAGCGUUAUCCGGAUUUAUUGGGCGUAAAGCGCGUCUAGGUGGUUAUGUAAGUCUGAUGUGAAAAUGCAGGGCUCAACUCUGUAUUGCGUUGGAAACUGUAUAACUAGAGUACUGGAGAGGUAAGCGGAACUACAAGUGUAGAGGUGAAAUUCGUAGAUAUUUGUAGGAAUGCCGAUGGGGAAGCCAGCUUACUGGACAGAUACUGACGCUGAAGCGCGAAAGCGUGGGUAGCAAACAGG
This 407-nucleotide ribosomal RNA is filed under the name Verrucomicrobiota bacterium. Its description in RNAcentral is "Verrucomicrobia bacterium partial 16S ribosomal RNA". It matches the Rfam family "Bacterial small subunit ribosomal RNA", at positions 355 to 776 of the family's 1533-position model. The record is from RNAcentral. Lineage: Bacteria; Pseudomonadati; Verrucomicrobiota.